Molecule: long non-coding RNA, 429 nt
Filed under: Felis catus (domestic cat)
Lineage: Eukaryota; Metazoa; Chordata; Mammalia; Carnivora; Felidae
Description: lncRNA (ENSFCAG00000048945.1)
Source: RNAcentral
UUUCCAGUUGUUGCUUCGCAUACGAACUAAAGAACUAAACUUGCUUUCAUAUAUGACAUACUUGCUUUUAAAAAUCUAAUUAAAACUUUCUUUUUGGUCCUUAGGUAGAAAGAUGGCUCUGUUGAGAUGAGCUCUUAAUUAAUGCACUGAGAGCUUAGGAGUCCCACCUCUCAACAGGAAUGAUUGACGUCCAAGGAUACAUAAAUUACACUAAUUGAGCUCCGUCUCUAUACAGGCUUUCCGCAGCCAACUCAUCAGAGAAGCUAGGUUUGUAAGACCAGCACCGUCUCUCUUAGCAACUCUAAUGAGCAAUCUGAUACAAAAUUGAAGGAAAAUACACCAUUUUGAGUCCCUGCUCUUCUAAGACAAACUGAUUUAGAAGUUCGGUGCAAUCAAGACAACUAAACGCCGCUUUAAAGAAGAAGAGAA